RNAcentral lists this ribosomal RNA (434 nucleotides) under Staphylococcus aureus. RNAcentral describes it as "partial 23S ribosomal RNA". It matches the Rfam family "Bacterial large subunit ribosomal RNA", at positions 1601 to 2036 of the family's 2925-position model. Lineage: Bacteria; Bacillati; Bacillota; Bacilli; Caryophanales; Staphylococcaceae. The record is from RNAcentral.
CACACUGCCGAGAAAAGCCUCUAGAUAGAAAAUAGGUGCCCGUACCGCAAACCGACACAGGUAGUCAAGAUGAGAAUUCUAAGGUGAGCGAGCGAACUCUCGUUAAGGAACUCGGCAAAAUGACCCCGUAACUUCGGGAGAAGGGGUGCUCUUUAGGGUUAACGCCCAGAAGAGCCGCAGUGAAUAGGCCCAAGCGACUGUUUAUCAAAAACACAGGUCUCUGCUAAACCGUAAGGUGAUGUAUAGGGGCUGACGCCUGCCCGGUGCUGGAAGGUUAAGAGGAGUGGUUAGCUUCUGCGAAGCUACGAAUCGAAGCCCCAGUAAACGGCGGCCGUAACUAUAACGGUCCUAAGGUAGCGAAAUUCCUUGUCGGGUAAGUUCCGACCCGCACGAAAGGCGUAACGAUUUGGGCACUGUCUCAACGAGAGACUCGG